CUUGCCGCCGGCGACCGGCGCACGGGUGAGUAACACGUAUGCAACCUGGCCGUGACAGAUGGAUAACCGGGAGAAAUCCCGCCUAAUACAACAUAAUGCCGGGAGGGGACAUCCCCUGCCGGCCAAAGGGGGCGACCCCGGUCACGGAUGGGCAUGCGGCGCAUUAGGUAGUUGGUAGGGUAACGGCCUACCAAGCCGACGAUGCGUAGGGGUUCUGAGAGGAAGGUCCCCCACAUUGGAACUGAGACACGGUCCAAACUCCUACGGGAGGCAGCAG
This 277-nucleotide ribosomal RNA is filed under the name uncultured bacterium. Its description in RNAcentral is "partial 16S ribosomal RNA". It matches the Rfam family "Bacterial small subunit ribosomal RNA", at positions 81 to 354 of the family's 1533-position model. The record is from RNAcentral.